CGCAGCCGCGGUAAUUCCAGCUCCAAUAGCGUAUAUUAAAGUUGUUGCAGUUAAAAAGCUCGUAGUUGAAUUUCGGGAUCAAUAUGUUGGUCGUGCCUCGGUACGUACUAGCAUAUUGGUUUCUCCUUUCUGAAGAACCAUGAUGUCAUUUAUUUGGUGUCGUGGGGAAUCAGGACUGUUACUUUGAAAAAUUAGAGUGUUUAAAGCAGGCUCACGCUUGAAUACAUUAGCAUGGAAUAAUGAAAUAGGACGUUUGAUUCUAUUUUGUUGGUUUCUAGGAUCGACGUAAUGAUUAAUAGGGAUAGUUGGGGGCAUUAGUAUUCAAUUGUCAGAGGUGAAAUUCUUGGAUUUAUUGAAGACUAACUACUGCGAAAGCAUUUGCCAAGGAUGUUUUCAUUAAUCAAGAACGAAAGUUAGGGGAUCGAAGACGACCAGAUACCGUCGUAGUCUUAACCAUAAACUAUGCCGACUAGGGAUCGGAUGAUGUUAAUUUUUAAUGACUCAUUCGGCGCCUUAACC
Molecule: unclassified non-coding RNA, 519 nt
Filed under: uncultured Glomus
Lineage: Eukaryota; Fungi; Glomeromycota; Glomeromycetes; Glomerales; Glomeraceae
Description: SSU rRNA
Rfam family: Eukaryotic small subunit ribosomal RNA
Source: RNAcentral